UGGGGGUUAGCCAAGCGGUAAGGCAACGGACUUUGACUCCGUCAUGCAUAGGUUCGAAUCCUAUACCCCCAGCCA
This 75-nucleotide transfer RNA is filed under the name Paenibacillus larvae. Its description in RNAcentral is "tRNA-Gln(ttg)". It matches the Rfam family "tRNA". From Rfam's summary of the family: Transfer RNA (tRNA) molecules are approximately 80 nucleotides in length. Their secondary structure includes four short double-helical elements and three loops (D, anti-codon, and T loops). Lineage: Bacteria; Bacillati; Bacillota; Bacilli; Caryophanales; Paenibacillaceae. The record is from RNAcentral. RNAcentral also lists the same sequence under 4 other names.